GACGAACGCUGGCGGCGUGCUUAACACAUGCAAGUCGAACGAUGAAGAAAAGAAUUGAAGCUUCGGCAGAAAUUCAUUUCGGAUUAGUGGCAGACGGGUGAGUAACGCGUGAGCAACCUACCUCUUACAAAGGGAUAGCCUCGGGAAACCGGGAUUAAUACCAUAUAACAUUGCGACGAAGCAUUUCGAUGCAAUCAAAGCUACGGCGGUAAGAGAUGGGCUCGCGUCCCAUUAACCAGAUGGUGAGGUAACGGCUCACCAUAGUAACGAUGGGUAACCGGCCUGAGAGGGUGAACGGUCACACUGGAACUGAGACACGGUCCAGACUCCUACGGGAAGCAGCAGUGGGGAAUAUUGCACAAUGGAGGGAACUCUGAUGCAGCGACGCCGCGUGAGUGAUGAAGGAAUUCGUUUCGUAAAACUCUGUUCUAUGGGAAGAAAAGGACUGUACCAUAGGAGAAAGCGCCGGCUAAAUACGUG
This 480-nucleotide ribosomal RNA is filed under the name uncultured bacterium. Its description in RNAcentral is "partial 16S ribosomal RNA". It matches the Rfam family "Bacterial small subunit ribosomal RNA", at positions 28 to 507 of the family's 1533-position model. The record is from RNAcentral.